Molecule: ribosomal RNA, 488 nt
Filed under: uncultured bacterium
Lineage: Bacteria
Description: bacterial SSU rRNA
Rfam family: Bacterial small subunit ribosomal RNA
Source: RNAcentral
GAUGAACGCUGGCGGCAUGCCUAAUACAUGCAAGUCAAACGGGUGUAGCAAUACACAAGUGGCGAACGGGUGAGUAACACAUAGACAACCUGUCCUUAAGACGAGGAUAACAGUUGGAAACGACUGCUAAAACUGGAUAGGAUAAAGUAACGCAUGUUAAGAUAUUUAAAGAUGCUUUCGGGCAUUACUUAAGGAGGGGUCUAUGUCGCAUUAGCUAGUUGGUGAGGUAAGGGCUCACCAAGGCGACGAUGCGUAGCUGUGCUGAGAGGCAAAACAGCCACACUGGGACUGAGACACGGCCCAGACUCCUACGGGAGGCAGCAGUAGGGAAUUUUCGGCAAUGGGGGGAACCCUGACCGAGCAAUGCCGCGUGAAUGAAGACGAUCUUCGGAUUGUAAAGUUCUGUUAUUGGGAAAGAAGAUAUGGCGAGGAAAUGCGUUAUAUUUGACGGUACCUGAUGAGAAAGCCCCGGCUAACUAUGUGCCAGC